Molecule: ribosomal RNA, 773 nt
Filed under: uncultured bacterium
Lineage: Bacteria
Description: bacterial SSU rRNA
Rfam family: Bacterial small subunit ribosomal RNA
Source: RNAcentral
CUAUCAUGCAGUCGAGCGCCCUAGCAAUAGGGAGCGGCGCACGGGUGCGUAACACGUGGGAAUCUACCCUUGACUACGGAACAACGUCGGGAAACUGACGCUAAUACCGUAUAAUGACUCCGGUCCAAAGAUUUAUCGGUCAAGGAUGAGCCCGCGCUAGAUUAGGUAGUUGGUGAGGUAAUGGCUCACCAAGCCUACGAUCUAUAGGGGGUCUGAGAGGAUGAUCCCCCACACUGGAACUGAGACACGGUCCAGACUCCUACGGGAGGCAGCAGUAAGGAAUAUUGGACAAUGGGGGCAACCCUGAUCCAGCCAUGCCGCGUGAGUGACGAAGGCCUUCGGGUUGUAAAGCUCUUUCGGAUGUGAAGAUAAUGACAGUAGCAUAAGAAGAAGCUCCGGCUAAACUCGUGCCAGCAGCCGCGGUAAUACGAGUGGAGCGAGCGUUGUUCGGAAUCACUGGGCGUAAAGCGUGCGCAGGCGGCUAUGCAAGUCAGGAGUGAAAUCCCAGGGCUUAACCCUGGAAUUGCUCUUGAAACUGCAUGGCUAGAAUCCCGGAGAGGUUGGCGGAAUUCUCAGUGUAGAGGUGAAAUUCGCAGAUAUUGAGAGGAACACCAGUGGCGUAAGCGGCCAACUGGACGGGUAUUGACGCUCAGGCACGAAAGCGUGGGGAUCAAACAGGAUUAGAUACCCUGGUAGUCCACGCCUUAAACGAUGUGUGCUAGCUGUCGGGAACUUCGGUUCUCGGCGACGCAGCUAACGCAAUAAGCACACCG